RNAcentral lists this ribosomal RNA (253 nucleotides) under uncultured bacterium. RNAcentral describes it as "partial 16S ribosomal RNA". It matches the Rfam family "Bacterial small subunit ribosomal RNA", at positions 524 to 776 of the family's 1533-position model. The record is from RNAcentral.
UACGUAGGGCGCGAGCGUUGUCCGGAAUUAUUGGGCGUAAAGGGCUCGUAGGCGGCCUGUCGCGUCGGUUGUGAAAGCCCGGGGCUCAACCCCGGGUCUGCAGUCGAUACGGGCAGGCUAGAGUUCGGUAGGGGAGAUCGGAAUUCCUGGUGUAGCGGUGAAAUGCGCAGAUAUCAGGAGGAACACCGGUGGCGAAGGCGGAUCUCUGGGCCGAUACUGACGCUGAGGAGCGAAAGCGUGGGGAGCGAACAGG